CCCAGACUCCUACGGGAGGCAGCAGUGGGGAAUAUUGGGCAAUGGGCGCAAGCCUGACCCAGCAACGCCGCGUGAAGGAAGAAGGCUUUCGGGUUGUAAACUUCUUUUAAGGGGGAAGAGCAGAAGACGGUACCUCAGGAAUAAGCCACGACUAACUACGUGCCAGCAGCCGCGGUAAUACGUAGGUGGCAAGCGUUAUCCGGAUUUAUUGGGUGUAAAGGGCGUGUAGGCGGGAAAGCAAGUCAGAUGUGAAAACUCAGGGCUCAACCCUGAGCCUGCAUUUGAAACUGUUUUUCUUGAGUGCUGGAGAGGCAAUCGGAAUUCCGUGUGUAGCGGUGAAAUGCGUAGAUAUACGGAGGAACACCAGUGGCGAAGGCGGAUUGCUGGACAGUAACUGACGUUGAGGCUCGAAAGCGUGGGGAGCAAACAGGAUUAGAUACCCCCGUAUC
Molecule: ribosomal RNA, 449 nt
Filed under: uncultured bacterium
Lineage: Bacteria
Description: bacterial SSU rRNA
Rfam family: Bacterial small subunit ribosomal RNA
Source: RNAcentral